RNAcentral lists this non-coding RNA (406 nucleotides) under Solanum tuberosum (potato). Its description in RNAcentral is "Eukaryotic large subunit ribosomal RNA". It matches the Rfam family "Eukaryotic large subunit ribosomal RNA", at positions 2415 to 2769 of the family's 3401-position model. Lineage: Eukaryota; Viridiplantae; Streptophyta; Magnoliopsida; Solanales; Solanaceae. The record is from Rfam by way of RNAcentral.
GUUUAGUUUGACUCUAGUUCGAUUUUGCGAAAUGACUUGAGAGGAAUAGUAUAAGUGGGAGACGAAAGGCAAAAGUAAAAUGCCACUACGUUUAUUGUUACUUAACUUAUUUUGUGAGUCGGAAGCGGAGCACUACCCCUCUUUUUGGACCCAUGACUUUCUUUGCAGGCCCAUCCGAGAGGAUGAUAUUAUCACGGGAGUUUGGCUUGAAUAACAUGUAUGUUAAAAAUUAACGCAUGUGUCCUAAAAUGAUCUUAAAAAAACAAAAACCUUGUAUUAGAGAAAAAUAGCAUGCGUUUAUAGCAAAAUGUUGAGUGAACAUGUGGCACACAUGGUAAGGAAAUAGUAUUCGUGAAGGCUCUUUUGACAGAAUGUUCAUUCCAAGGAUGUGAACGGAAAGCUCAAC